UGUCCCUUCAAAGAAAAUGUGAGCUCAUAAAUCCUGGGAGAUUAGAGAUCCUGAGGCCCGAUGUGGCAACAGCUCCGGGUUUAUGGCAUUCCUCAAGACAGCCAGGAUGGGAUGUUCUGUGACCUGGCUUUUAUGAAGAUCAAAAGGCUGGAAACUGUUGAGAAUAAGAUUUUCACAUCAUGCAGGGGGAGACACCGAGCUGUGAGAUGGGAGGAGGCUCUUUGAAGUGUGCAGAUAAGGACCCUUCUAACCUUGAGCCAGAUUCCUCAGAGGGGCUGGCAUUGGCAGCUGCAUCAUCGUGGUGCCUUGAGAAAGCACUUCUACACAGUAUUUCCCAUGUAAGCAAAGGAUCUUAGCACUGCAAAUCUUCCCAAAAAAGGAUUCCCCUGAGCUGCUCUCUCUUUUUCCCUCCAUCUGGGUGCACUGGCUGAAAAAAUGCCUUUGAGACCAUGGAAGGACAGGAAAUCAGUGUGGAAGAAGUGAGGUCUGGGAACAAGAAGUCAUGGCAGAGGCAAUUCCAUGCUGAACAGCAGUGAAACAAAAGCUAAAGCCAGACAAUAUUGACAAACAGAAACGGAACAAGUGAGGAGCUGCCCCAGCAUGGUCUGGUAGUGAAGAAGGAGAGCAAGGAGAGUCUGAUGCCGAGUUCUCCAGUCAUGACUGCCCCACAGUUGCCUUCUGUCACCUGGACAUGAGGUAGAUGAGGUAGAGCAUCUCCAAAUAAUGCCCAAGUCACCUUGCUGGCUUCUGUGGAGGGGAAGGUAAGGGUGUAACAAGCACCCUUCCUGAGAAAGGGUGUCGUGAAGUGCAUGGGGUCAGGAUUGCUUUAGACCUGGGAUGUGAAGACUGUAAGGCCUGGCUUUUCCUGAGACAGCUGGAGUAAGAAUGAGGUUGGGUUUUAAGUCUCUUUUAUCACUAAAAUCUGGAGGUCUAACCUGAGGAAGACAGAGAACCCUCAGAAUCCUGGCCAUUGUGACCACACCACUGUCAUUCCCUUUUGUGAUGGAGGUGAAGACUAAAGCUUUGUGCUGGCCAAGGAAUUCCUUCAGUCAGGAAUAGUCUUAGGAGACUGAUUCCAGAAGCCUUUCUCCUAACCAAAAGUAAAUAGAAGAGAGGAGAAUUGGGUCCUUUCUGGAGUAGCCACCUGCCCUCCCACCCAGCCUACUUUGGCUGGAAGACUUGGAGCAUCCUCUACUUGUGCCUCCCCUCGUGUGGCCAAAGCACAGUUAAGCCUCCUGUCCCUCUCUCCCCCCAUAAAAGUGCAUGAUGGGAUUCUCUUUGCUGCCUCACCCUCCUCUCUCCAGAGCUGUGUGUUUGAAAUGAUAUCUAUUUCUCUUUGUGACAGCACACCGUGACUGCCGCCUUGACGCUGUGCCGAGCUGACAUCCCAACCGGUCUGACACUGAUGCCUUUGGGCAGAAAUCAGAGCCGGUUUGCUCCACGGCUCCGUGCAGCCACGGCGCCCGUAGCGCCUCGCAGAGCCCCCAGCGCCCUGCCGGGGAAAUGGAGCGAGCACGUGGGCCCCACAUGAACCCCGGGGAGGGCGCAGGCGUCACCUGCGCUCAUCCUCCUGCCCCUUUUCAGCUUGCAGUGCUCGCAUUCACAUGGGUUUAUUUUUUUCUAUUUCCCCCCUCUUCUCUCUCCCUUUUUGCCGUGCCUGUGAGAGGAUUGGUUUCCUGUUUCUCCCGCGGCUGCAGAGUCCUUGGGGAGCUGGGUUUCCGUGAGCUGGAAAAGGAGUGCCCAAGCGUCUGAUCAGCCCUGAUUAGUGUUGAGAAAGAUCUAAUGGGUCCUGGCUUCUGGGACCAUUACCUGUCAUUUACUUUUAUUAAGUCUGUGAUGAGAAAGUUUAAAAUUAAAGGCUUUGUAAAUUGGAUUCCAGUUCUAAAGGAGGACACCGACCGGGAAAUCAGUGCCUAAGCUCGCAGAUGGACCACUGGGAACAACACCAGACCAGGGCGUUCCUCUUCAGCUGCUUUGACAAAGGCACAGCAGCUCCUUGACUUCAGCUAAUUGCCACAUUCCCUUGAAGGAGGAGUGAUGCCUCUCCCAAGUUUCUCUGCUAGGGAUGUGAGGAGCUGAUCUCUGAGUUAUUCAGUGGUUUCUUACAUCAUUCCUGUGUUCCCAGCCGUGCCACAAGGCUUUCAGAAGGCUGGGAACCAAGAACGAGAGACAAGGGUGACCCUUCCUCCAGCCCCUUCUGUCCUCCGGGCAUGCUCGUGCCACGUGUGGCUGCAAACAGUCGGGACAUCUGGAAUGGGUUCAUGUGAGUCCAUGGUCUGGAUCCUGGUGCGUGGGAAAUCCUCAUCCUCUGCUCAUUCCCCUGACAGGCAGCUCCUGCCUCGGCGUGACAGCACACAGACAGAUCCUCUGCAGAGUUCAUGGGGGAGGAUGUUCUGAUUGGGGUCCAAAAUCAUUCUCACAGUAACAUCUUCUGAUGUUUAGCCCUCCAGAUGGGGCAGGAUCUCACAUCUAGCACAGACUUACCAUGUAUAAACCACUAGAAAACACUGAUUUUGUUACUUCAAGGCAAAACCUGCUCUCAUCCUCCUUGGUUUUACAAGUGACUAAAUGCAUCAGUCCAGUUUCUGCCUCACCACUGGAGUCUUCCCAGCUGAGGAUGUAUUUCACACCUCCCACCUGAAGGACACCCUGCCCAGGAAAGUUCCUCUGUCCGGUUCAGUGCCUGGUCACAGCGAGUUUUCCUGGCACAAGUGAGUGGAAAGAGCACUUUGGCAUGGAGAGGAAAUGAGCAGCAGAGGUGAAAGGUGUCCUGGCAGGCACUUCCCAUUUCUGUCCUUAUCUCCAGUCUCCAGCUGUCUUCAGAGGCCUCCCAGCUACUGUGUCCUGCAAGUUCAAAACCCUGCAGCCCAGUGGGACUGAAAAGUGUGAAGGAGCACAGGGACCGGAGCUGAGUGACAUUGUGGCUGCCUGGCUGUUACAAUUUAUCAUGAACGCAUCUCACUUCACUUCUGGCUCCUCUGACGGAAGGAACAGCCGGUCUCCGGGAGGUCAAAGACAUUAUUUUCCCCCAGUCUUUCUCAGUUUCCAGCACGUAUUUGUCACUUUGAAAAAGCAUGAAUUCUGGAUUUGAUGCACUUUAAUUGAUUUCACCCUCAACAAGUCCAACUGUCCAUCAACCUUUCCUUUUUCUUUCCUCUCCCCCUUCUUCAUUUCUUUCCUCUGUCCCUUUGCUUUGGGAGUGAUGUUUUCACCCGCCUGCAUGUUGGAGCUGUUGCA
Prinia subflava (tawny-flanked prinia) is the source of this 3237-nucleotide long non-coding RNA. RefSeq lists it as uncharacterized. The record is from RefSeq and is a predicted model, not a curated record. The transcript is spliced from 8 exons. Lineage: Eukaryota; Metazoa; Chordata; Aves; Passeriformes; Cisticolidae.